CCUACGGGAGGCAGCAGUCAGGAAUAUUGGGCAAUGGGCGAAAGCCUGACCCAGCAACGCCGCGUGAAGGAUGAAGGCCUUCGGGUCGUAAACUUCUGUCGAGAGGGAAGAAUGUGUACGGGUGAAUAAUCCGUGCAUUUGACGGUACCUCCAAAGGAAGCACCGGCUAACUCCGUGCCAGCAGCCGCGGUAAUACGGAGGGUGCAAGCGUUGUUCGGAUUCAUUGGGCGUAAAGCGAGUGUAGGCGGUUUGACAAGUCGGAUGUGAAAUCCCGGGGCCCAACCCCGGAACUGCAUCCGAUACUGUCUGGCUAGAGUCCCGGAGAGGGUGGCGGAAUUCCCGGUGUAGGGGUGAAAUCCGUAGAUAUCGGGAGGAACACCAGUGGCGAAGGCGGCCACCUGGACGGUGACUGACGCUGAGACUCGAAAGCGUGGGUAGCAAACAGGAUUAGAUACCCUAGUAGUC
This 465-nucleotide ribosomal RNA is filed under the name uncultured bacterium. RNAcentral describes it as "bacterial SSU rRNA". It matches the Rfam family "Bacterial small subunit ribosomal RNA", at positions 338 to 795 of the family's 1533-position model. The record is from RNAcentral.